Molecule: ribosomal RNA, 301 nt
Filed under: uncultured bacterium
Lineage: Bacteria
Description: partial 16S ribosomal RNA
Rfam family: Bacterial small subunit ribosomal RNA
Source: RNAcentral
CAGCAGCCGCGGGAAUACGAAGGGUGCAAGCGUUACUCGGAAUUACUGGGCGUAAAGCGUGCGUAGGUGGUGGUUUAAGUCCGUUGUGAAAGCCCUGGGCUCAACCUGGGAAUUGCAGUGGAUACUGGGUCACUAGAGUGUGGUAGAGGAUAGUGGAAUUUCCGGUGUAGCAGUGAAAUGCGUAGAGAUCGGAAGGAACAUCUGUGGCGAAGGCGACUAUCUGGGCCAACACUGACACUGAGACACGAAAGCGUGGGGAGCAAACAGGAUUAGAUACCCGUGUAGUCCCUGUCUCUUAUAC